GUGCCGCAAUGCCCAUUAGAGGGGUAACAGAGGACCUAAAUGCUAAAAUACACGUGAAAAUUAAGAAAUAGCGAAUUUUGAAUAAUGAAAUGGAUAUUUUGAAUAAUGGAAUGCACUGCUGCGACCCUUCAACCCCUAAUUACAGAUAUACAAUAUACGUCAUUCGAAAACUUAUCAAUAGAGGAACAAACGAUAUAUAGUCAAU
This 205-nucleotide long non-coding RNA is filed under the name Mytilus galloprovincialis (Mediterranean mussel). Lineage: Eukaryota; Metazoa; Mollusca; Bivalvia; Mytilida; Mytilidae. The record is from RNAcentral.